AUGCCAGCAAUAUUUUACAAGAGAUGCUGGGAUUUGGUUGGUGAGAGGGUCAGAUGUGAGGUACUCGCAGUUCUAAAUGGAGGCCCAAUUCCAGAGGAGUGGAACAGAACUACAGUUGUGCUAAUUCCAAAGAGUAAAAAUCCAGAAAGGAUUAAGGAUUUCAUACCAAUUAGUCUCUGUAAUAUGCUAUACAAAAUUAUUUCCAAGGUUCUUACUAGUAGACUGAAAGUCUUUCUUGGAGACAUUAUCUCGCAAAAUCAAAGUGCCUUCAUUCCAGGUCGAUUGAUCACUGACAAUGUCCUGGUUGCUUACGAGAUGUCUCACUAUAUAAGAAACAAAAGAAAUGGACAAAAUGCUUUCAUGGAAAUCAAACUUGAUAUGAGUAAAGCAUAUGAUAGGGUGGAAUGGAAUUUUCUCGAAGCAAUGUUGAUCAAGCUUGGAUUCCAUAAUAAGUGGGUUUCUCUCUUGAUGAACUGUGUUCGAUCAGUGACUUACAGAGUUAAAGUGAAAGGCGAUUUGACAGAUGUGAUAUACCCUCAGCAGGGUCUGAGACAAGGAGACCCACUUUCCCCCUAUCUCUUUCUCAUCUGUGACGAAGGAUUUUCCUCCUUACUCCAUAUUGCUGAGGAACAAGGGUUGAUUGAAGGCAUUCAGAUUUCUCCAGGGGCGCCGAGUGUGUCACACUUGCUUUUUGCGAAUGACUCCCUUCUCCUCCUAAUGGCAGAUUGUGACAAUGCUUCAGAACUUCAACAUAUCCUUGACCUGUAUGAGGAAUGUUCGGGACACAUUAUCAACAGGGAUAAGAGUAGUGUGCUUUUCAGCCCAAACUGUAAUAAUACGCAGAAGAUAGAAAUUAUGGAUUUUCUGAAUAUUUCCUGUGAGGGACAAAAUGAGAGGUAUCUAGGGCUCCCAGUUCAUAUAGGCAAGUCAAAGAAAAGAGUUUUCCAAUAUCUGAAAGGGAAAUUUUGUGCAAGAAUCCAAGGUUGGAAAGAGAGAACGUUUUAUAAAUCCGGAAAAGAAAUUCUUAUUAAGGCGGUGGCUCGGGAGAUCCCAACUUAUGCUAUGUCAUGCUUUGACAUCACUAAAGGGAUUUGCGAGGAGAUUUCUUCCAUGGUAUGUUGUUUCUGGUGGAGUCAAAUGGAUGAAGAAAAUAAAUUACAU
RNAcentral lists this ribosomal RNA (1161 nucleotides) under Triticum aestivum (bread wheat). Its description in RNAcentral is "partial small subunit ribosomal RNA". The record is from RNAcentral. Lineage: Eukaryota; Viridiplantae; Streptophyta; Magnoliopsida; Poales; Poaceae.